UACGGAGGGGGCAAGCGUUGUCCGGAAUUAUUGGGCGUAAAGAGCGUGUAGGCGGUCCGGUAAGUCAGCUGUGAAAGUCAAGGGCUCAACCCUUGAAAGCCGGUUGAUACUGUCGGGCUAGAGUCCGGAAGAGGCGAGUGGAAUUCCCGGUGUAGCGGUGAAAUGCGCAGAUAUCGGGAGGAACACCAAUGGCGAAGGCAGCUCGCUGGGACGGUACUGACGCUGAGACGCGAAAGCGUGGGGAGCAAACAGG
RNAcentral lists this ribosomal RNA (253 nucleotides) under uncultured bacterium. Its description in RNAcentral is "partial 16S ribosomal RNA". It matches the Rfam family "Bacterial small subunit ribosomal RNA", at positions 524 to 776 of the family's 1533-position model. The record is from RNAcentral.